GUCUCUGUAACUCAGUGGUAGAGUGUAGGAUUGCAAUUCCUGGCCUGUCAUCCUGAAGUCCCGUGUUCGAACCACGGCAGGGACU
Molecule: non-coding RNA, 85 nt
Organism: Mycena albidolilacea
Lineage: Eukaryota; Fungi; Basidiomycota; Agaricomycetes; Agaricales; Mycenaceae
Source: the annotation of a GenBank genome assembly